Molecule: long non-coding RNA, 514 nt
Organism: Dermacentor andersoni
Lineage: Eukaryota; Metazoa; Arthropoda; Arachnida; Ixodida; Ixodidae
Source: RefSeq, a predicted model, not a curated record
CGGGGCAUGGUGCUUUCAGUGCCCAAUUUUUUAUAGAACAUGUAGUUUUCCAUUAUAAAGGGGACUGUAAUGCGAUGUCUUUAAGUAGGGGGUUGUCUUACAUUCAGAGUCGACUUAUGUUUCAACAUGAACGGGAAUGAAGUGUUACGCAAUUCUUUUAACGAAAUUUACCUCUGCUGUUUAGUUUCCAUAUUGUGCGUAAAAGCAACAGUGCGUGCACUUUCAGCUGCUCAGUUUACCUUCAAUGCUGCUCUCAUUUUGUAGAGUUCAUCACAUGUGCAUGUGCAACACAUUGGCGGAGGCAAUACGAACUGCAUUUCUCGCUAGCUGGACAAGUCGGAAUGGCAAUGCACCUUGGAGAACAAGACUCGAAUUGUGAAAGUCUGGUGGUCAGCUCUUUGCAAGGACAUGGUGCUAUGCAGCCUUCAGCUGCUGAAGAGGCAAGAUUACAUUUCUGAAUUACACUACACGAUUACAUUACAUUUGAAGAGGCAAGAUUACAUAUUUAAGUGUU